UGCAAGUCGAACGAAGUCUUCGGACUUAGUGGCAGACGGGUGAGUAACGCGUGGGAACAUACCUUUCGGUACGGAACAACAGUUGGAAACGACUGCUAAUACCGUAUACGCCCUAUGGGGGAAAGAUUUAUCGCCGAGAGAUUGGCCCGCGUUAGAUUAGCUAGUUGGUGGGGUAAUGGCCUACCAAGGCGACGAUCUAUAGCUGGUCUGAGAGGAUGAUCAGCCACACUGGGACUGAGACACGGCCCAGACUCCUACGGGAGGCAGCAGUGGGGAAUAUUGGACAAUGGGCGCAAGCCUGAUCCAGCCAUGCCGCGUGAGUGAUGAAGGCCUUAGGGUUGUAAAGCUCUUUCAGCGAGGAGGAUAAUGACGUUACUCGCAGAAGAAGCCCCGGCUAACUUCGUGCCAGCAGCCGCGGUAAUACGAAGGGGGCUAGCGUUGUUCGGAAUCACUGGGCGUAAAGCGCACGUAGGCGGACUUUUAAGUCAGGGGUGAAAUCCCGGGGCUCAACCCUGGAACUGCCUUUGAUACUGGAAGUCUUGAGUCCGAGAGAGGUGAGUGGAAUUCCGAGUGUAGAGGUGAAAUUCGUAGAUAUUCGGAGGAACACCAGUGGCGAAGGCGGCUCACUGGCUCGGUACUGACGCUGAGGUGCGAAAGCGUGGG
RNAcentral lists this ribosomal RNA (663 nucleotides) under Roseibium suaedae. RNAcentral describes it as "bacterial SSU rRNA". It matches the Rfam family "Bacterial small subunit ribosomal RNA", at positions 56 to 765 of the family's 1533-position model. The record is from RNAcentral. Lineage: Bacteria; Pseudomonadati; Pseudomonadota; Alphaproteobacteria; Hyphomicrobiales; Stappiaceae.